This 492-nucleotide ribosomal RNA is filed under the name uncultured bacterium. Its description in RNAcentral is "partial 16S ribosomal RNA". It matches the Rfam family "Bacterial small subunit ribosomal RNA", at positions 28 to 507 of the family's 1533-position model. The record is from RNAcentral.
GAUGAACGCUGGCGGCGUGCCUAACACAUGCAAGUCGAACGGAAAGACAGUAAGAGUGUGCCCUUACGGGUGGCGGGGGGCGGGCGGGUGAGGAAUGCAUCGGAAACUUCUUUUUCGGGGGGGAUAACGGGGGGCCAGUUACGAUAACACCGCAUACGAUGUACGGGUGAGAGCAGUGGAUAUUGGGGGCUUGUGCGGCUGAAUGAGCUGAUGUCGGAUUAGCUAGUUGGGGGGGUAACGGCCCAGCAAGGCGACGAUCCGUAGCCGGUCUGAGAGGAUGAUCGGCCACACUGGAACUGAGACACGGUCCAGACUCCUACGGGAGGCAGCAGUGGGGAAUGUUGGGCAAUGGGCGCAAGCCUGACCCAGCCACGCCGCGUGGGUGAAGAAGGCCUUCGGGUCGUAAAGCCCUUUUGUUGGGGAAGAACAGCUGCGUAUUAAUCCCCGGCUGUUCUGACGGUACCUAAUGAAUAAGCACCGGCUAACUACGUG